RNAcentral lists this ribosomal RNA (465 nucleotides) under uncultured bacterium. RNAcentral describes it as "partial 16S ribosomal RNA". It matches the Rfam family "Bacterial small subunit ribosomal RNA", at positions 28 to 507 of the family's 1533-position model. The record is from RNAcentral.
GACGAACGCUGGCGGCGUGCUUAACACAUGCAAGUCGAACGGAAAGGCCCCUUUGGGGGUACUCGAGUGGCGAACGGGCGAGUAACACGUGAGUAACCUGCCCUUGACUUCGGGAUAACUUCAGGAAACUGGGGCUAAUACCGGAUAGGAAUCCUUGCUGCAUGGUGGGGGUGGGAAAGCUUCCGCGGUUUGGGGUGGACUCGCGGCUUAUCAGCUUGUUGGUGGGGUAGUGGCUUACCAAGGCUUUGACUGGUAGCCGGCCUGAGAGGGCGAACGGCCACAUUGGGACUGGGAUACGGCCCAGACUCCUACGGGAGGCAGCAGUGGGGAAUAUUGCACAAUGGGCGGGAGCCUGAUGCAGCAACGCCGCGUGCGGGAUGACGGCCUUCGGGUUGUAAACCGCUUUCAGCAGGGGAGAAGCUUGUGGUGACGGUACCUGCAGAAGAAGCACCGGCUAACUACGUG